Non-coding RNA from Cinara cedri, 314 nucleotides. NCBI's taxonomy places the organism in Eukaryota, Metazoa, Arthropoda, Insecta, Hemiptera, Aphididae. The record is from the annotation of a GenBank genome assembly.
UAAAAUCGUGUUGCAAUAAUAUUCAAUGUUUAUUAUUUCGAGUACCUGUAUAUUAUGAUUCAAAUUUGUAUAGUCGGGGUUAAUCUGCAGGGUUCACAGAAUUACAUUAGAAAUGUUCACUCUGUAUAGUCGUAAACGUAUUUAUAACAAUUUUGGACCAUUCGGUAAAAUCGUGUAAAUAUUGUAGUAAAAUAUAUAUGCGUUAACUUCCGGGUCCUAUACAGUGAGAGUAUGUAUUGAUAACUAUAACCGCCGAUGACAAAAGGGCGAUGUACAAGGUCGCCGUUGACGUAAUCAAACUGCAGAGUAUUGUA